RNAcentral lists this ribosomal RNA (332 nucleotides) under uncultured bacterium. RNAcentral describes it as "partial 16S ribosomal RNA". It matches the Rfam family "Bacterial small subunit ribosomal RNA", at positions 338 to 687 of the family's 1533-position model. The record is from RNAcentral.
CCUACGUGAGGCAGCAGUGGGGAAUAUUGGACAAUGGGGGAAACCCUGAUCCAGCGACGCCGCGUGAGUGAAGAAGUAUUUCGGUACGUAAAGCUCUAUCAGCAGGAAAGAAAAUGACGGUACCUGACUAAGAAGCCCCGGCUAACUACGUGCCAGCAGCCGCGGUAAUACGUAGGGGGCAAGCGUUAUCCGGAUUGACUGGGUGUAAAGGGAGCGUAGACGGCAGCGCAAGUCUGGAGUGAAAUGGCGGGGCCAAACCCCGGAACUGCUCUGGAAACUGUGAAGCUGGAGGGAAGGGGAGGUAGGGGGAAUGCAUGGGGUAGGGGUGAAAU